CAAUUAUCAAGAUCAUAGGUUAUCAUUAGCAUUUUACUUGGGAUCACCCUAAAUCAUGUAACGCCAGAGGAAAAUUCUCAAUGUCAGUGACCUUUCCCCCUGUCUUUGUCCUUGCUCUCUUCUCAAUUUGUUUGUUCUCUGAGGAGGAGGAUGCAAGAGAGCACAACCAUAUGAAAGUAAUACAAUAACACCACAUUAACAAAGAGCUAGAAAAAGAAAAUCUCGAAA
This is a long non-coding RNA of Rhodamnia argentea, 228 nucleotides long. RefSeq lists it as uncharacterized. NCBI's taxonomy places the organism in Eukaryota, Viridiplantae, Streptophyta, Magnoliopsida, Myrtales, Myrtaceae. The record is from RefSeq and is a predicted model, not a curated record. The transcript has 3 exons.